GAUGAACGCUGGCGGCGUGCCUAAUACAUGCAAGUCGAGCGAACAGACGAGGAGCUUGCUCCUCUGACGUUAGCGGCGGACGGGUGAGUAACACGUGGAUAACCUACCUAUAAGACUGGGAUAACUUCGGGAAACCGGAGCUAAUACCGGAUAAUAUAUUGAACCGCAUGGUUCAAUAGUGAAAGACGGUUUUGCUGUCACUUAUAGAUGGAUCCGCGCCGCAUUAGCUAGUUGGUAAGGUAACGGCUUACCAAGGCGACGAUGCGUAGCCGACCUGAGAGGGUGAUCGGCCACACUGGAACUGAGACACGGUCCAGACUCCUACGGGAGGCAGCAGUAGGGAAUCUUCCGCAAUGGGCGAAAGCCUGACGGAGCAACGCCGCGUGAGUGAUGGAGGUCUUCGGAUCGUAAAACUCUGUUAUUAGGGAAGAACAAAUGUGUAAGUAACUAUGCACGUCUUGACGGUACCUAAUCAGAAAGCCACGGCUAACUACGUG
RNAcentral lists this ribosomal RNA (497 nucleotides) under uncultured bacterium. Its description in RNAcentral is "partial 16S ribosomal RNA". It matches the Rfam family "Bacterial small subunit ribosomal RNA", at positions 28 to 507 of the family's 1533-position model. The record is from RNAcentral.